This is a non-coding RNA of Cavia porcellus (domestic guinea pig), 390 nucleotides long. Lineage: Eukaryota; Metazoa; Chordata; Mammalia; Rodentia; Caviidae. The record is from the annotation of a RefSeq genome assembly.
AUGAGGUCAAGGAUCCAUGUCUUCAUGUGCCUAUUGCUCUGUGUCUCUGGUAUCUGUUGUGACAUUGUGAUGACCCAGUCUCCAGUUUCUCUGGCAGUUUCUACUGGAGAUAGUGCCAUCAUCUGCUGUAAGUUCAGCCAGAGUCUUCUAUACAGUGGUACCAACAAGAAUAUUUUAAGCUGGUACCAGCAGAAACCAGGACAAACUUCCAAACAUCUCAUCUAUUGGGCAUCCUCUCGGGUAUCUGGAAUCCCAGACCGGUUCAGUGGCAGUGAGUCUGGCACGGAUUUCACUCUCACUAUCAGCAGCACGCAGCCUGAAGAUGUGGCAAGUUAUUACUGUUGGCAGGGUAUUAGUGCUCCUCCCACAGUGAUUCAGCCUGGAACAUAA